UUCAAGUUUGACAGCAGUACAAUCAGUUUUCCAUUCAUCACUAGCCCUGUUUUAACCCUGCUGAAAAAGGGCCUAAUGUACGUGGCAGUGAUGGCAAUUAGGCAGAAAAGUAAUAUUAGAAACAGACAAAAGCCUGAGUCUUUUAGCAUUACAGGUGUUUUUUUUUUUUUUUUUUUUUUAGCUUGUUCUAGACAUAAAGGAAUAGGCAGUGUUGUUAAGUUCCCUUCUUCACUCUUCUCUUAAGCUGAAAGUCCAACGAUUUCAAGAUUCAAUUAAUUAGAGACAUGGAGAGCCAAAGAACAAGGUCUUUUUAUGCCAUCUUUUUUCAAAUAAUAACAAGGUGGUGGUGUAAACAAGGAAGAUUAGGUGCAUCCCAAGCUGUGUCCUGUCCCAAUGCCCCCUCCUUUCCCAAUGACAAAAGACUUGGAGAUGAAGUGGAGGAUUUUAAUGUAAAAGGAUAUGGACCAGUUAAGUGUGAACAGAAAAAGUGAAUCAAUAAUUGGGAACAUGAAAUGAUAAAAUAUUGGAAAUAAAAUCAGCAUAAUAGGUACAACCAA
Molecule: long non-coding RNA, 557 nt
Organism: Jaculus jaculus (lesser Egyptian jerboa)
Lineage: Eukaryota; Metazoa; Chordata; Mammalia; Rodentia; Dipodidae
Exons: 3
Source: RefSeq, a predicted model, not a curated record